AUUGAACGCUGGCGGCAGGCCUAACACAUGCAAGUCGAGCGGAUGAAGGGAGCUUGCUCCUGGAUUCAGCGGCGGACGGGUGAGUAAUGCCUAGGAAUCUGCCUGGUAGUGGGGGAUAACGUCCGGAAACGGGCGCUAAUACCGCAUACGUCCUGAGGGAGGAAGCGGGGGAUCUUCGGACCUCACGCUAUCAGAUGAGCCUAGGUCGGAUUAGCUAGUUGGUGGGGUAAAGGCCUACCAAGGCGACGAUCCGUAACUGGUCUGAGAGGAUGAUCAGUCACACUGGAACUGAGACACGGUCCAGACUCCUACGGGAGGCAGCAGUGGGGAAUAUUGGACAAUGGGCGAAAGCCUGAUCCAGCCAUGCCGCGUGUGUGAAGAAGGUCUUCGGAUUGUAAAGCACUUUAAGUUGGGAGGAAGGGCAGUAAGUUAAUACCUUGCUGUGUUGACGUUACCAACAGAAUAAGCACCGGCUAACUUCGUG
RNAcentral lists this ribosomal RNA (484 nucleotides) under uncultured bacterium. Its description in RNAcentral is "partial 16S ribosomal RNA". It matches the Rfam family "Bacterial small subunit ribosomal RNA", at positions 30 to 507 of the family's 1533-position model. The record is from RNAcentral.